This 685-nucleotide ribosomal RNA is filed under the name Clostridioides difficile. Its description in RNAcentral is "bacterial SSU rRNA". It matches the Rfam family "Bacterial small subunit ribosomal RNA", at positions 1 to 712 of the family's 1533-position model. The record is from RNAcentral. Lineage: Bacteria; Bacillati; Bacillota; Clostridia; Peptostreptococcales; Peptostreptococcaceae.
UUUCAUUUGAGUGUUUGAUCCUGGCUCAGGAUGAACGCUGGCGGCGUGCCUAACACAUGCAAGUUGAGCGAUUUACUUCGGUAAAGAGCGGCGGACGGGUGAGUAACGCGUGGGUAACCUACCCUGUACACACGGAUAACAUACCGAAAGGUAUGCUAAUACGGGAUAAUAUAUUUGAGAGGCAUCUCUUGAAUAUCAAAGGUGAGCCAGUACAGGAUGGACCCGCGUCUGAUUAGCUAGUUGGUAAGGUAACGGCUUACCAAGGCGACGAUCAGUAGCCGACCUGAGAGGGUGAUCGGCCACAUUGGAACUGAGACACGGUCCAAACUCCUACGGGAGGCAGCAGUGGGGAAUAUUGCACAAUGGGCGAAAGCCUGAUGCAGCAACGCCGCGUGAGUGAUGAAGGCCUUCGGGUCGUAAAACUCUGUCCUCAAGGAAGAUAAUGACGGUACUUGAGGAGGAAGCCCCGGCUAACUACGUGCCAGCAGCCGCGGUAAUACGUAGGGGGCUAGCGUUAUCCGGAUUUACUGGGCGUAAAGGGUGCGUAGGCGGUCUUUCAAGUCAGGAGUGAAAGGCUACGGCUCAACCGUAGUAAGCUCUUGAAACUGGGAGACUUGAGUGCAGGAGAGGAGAGUGGAAUUCCUAGUGUAGCGGUGAAAUGCGUAGAUAUUAGGAGGAACACCAG